GCGUCUUUAGCUUAAUGGCAAAGCCUCCGCCUUCGAAGCGGUCUCAUAUGGGUUCGAGUCCUAUAGGGCGCU
Molecule: transfer RNA, 72 nt
Filed under: Hannaella oryzae
Lineage: Eukaryota; Fungi; Basidiomycota; Tremellomycetes; Tremellales; Bulleribasidiaceae
Description: tRNA-Arg
Rfam family: tRNA
About the family: Transfer RNA (tRNA) molecules are approximately 80 nucleotides in length. Their secondary structure includes four short double-helical elements and three loops (D, anti-codon, and T loops). Further hydrogen bonds mediate the characteristic L-shaped molecular structure. tRNAs have two regions of fundamental functional importance: the anti-codon, which is responsible for specific mRNA codon recognition, and the 3' end, to which the tRNAs corresponding amino acid is attached (by aminoacyl-tRNA synthetases). tRNAs cope with the degeneracy of the genetic code in two manners: having more than one tRNA (with a specific anti-codon) for a particular amino acid; and 'wobble' base-pairing, i.e. permitting non-standard base-pairing at the 3rd anti-codon position.
Source: RNAcentral